Molecule: ribosomal RNA, 253 nt
Filed under: uncultured bacterium
Lineage: Bacteria
Description: partial 16S ribosomal RNA
Rfam family: Bacterial small subunit ribosomal RNA
Source: RNAcentral
UACGUAGGGCGCCAGCAUUGUCCGGAAUUAUUGGGCGUAAAGGGCUCGUAGGCGGUUUGUCGCGUCGGGAGUGAAAUCAUCUGGCUUAACUGGGUGCUUGCUUUCGAUACGGGCAGACUAGAGGUAUGCAGGGGAGAACGGAAUUCCUGGUGUAGCGGUGAAAUGCGCAGAUAUCGUCAAGAACACCGAUAGCGAAGGCAGCUUACUGGGCUGUAACUGACGCUGAGGCACGAAAGUGUGGGGAUCAAACAGG